Molecule: long non-coding RNA, 210 nt
Filed under: Vigna radiata
Lineage: Eukaryota; Viridiplantae; Streptophyta; Magnoliopsida; Fabales; Fabaceae
Description: long non-coding RNA (VRAD_LNC012834)
Source: RNAcentral
AAAUCUGACGCCCAAGCCCAACAUGACUCUCAAUUCACGCUUGGGCGAGCUCCUUGCGACGCAUGAGCGUGAAUUCACAUGGAUCGGGCCCUGUUUCUACUCUGAUUUGAUUCUUUUGGAUCGGGCCUCAUUCUGGAGCACUUCUGACACUAUUUGAAGGAUCCUAGGGCUCUAGGUUUUGCAUCCUUGGCAUAGAAGAGCAUAACAAUA